GAUGAAGAACGUAGCGAAAUGCGAUACGUAAUGUGAAUUGCAGAAUUCAGUGAAUCAUCGAAUCUUUGAACGCAUAUUGCGCUCUCUGGUAUUCCGGAGAGCAUGCUUGUUUGAGUAUCAGUAAACACCUCAACUCGCUUUUCUUUUUUGAAAUUGGAGCUGGACUUGAGUGAUCCCAACGCUUUCUUCCAAGAAAGUGGCGGGUUGCUUGAAAUGCAGGUGCAGCUGAACUUUUCUCUGAGCUAUAAGCAUAUCUAUUUAGUCUGCCUAAAAAACAGAUUAUUACCUUUGCUGCAGCUAACAUAAAGGAGACUAGUUCUUGUGCUGACUGAUGCAGGAUUCACAGAGACAGCUUCGGCUGACUUUGUAAACUCGAUCUCAAAUCAAGUAAGACUACCCGCUGAACUUAAGCAUAUCAAUAAGCGGAGGA
Molecule: unclassified non-coding RNA, 430 nt
Filed under: soil metagenome
Description: partial contains 5.8S ribosomal RNA, internal transcribed spacer 2, and large subunit ribosomal RNA
Rfam family: 5.8S ribosomal RNA (bases 1-120)
Source: RNAcentral